Molecule: microRNA precursor, 67 nt
Filed under: Bombyx mori (domestic silkworm)
Lineage: Eukaryota; Metazoa; Arthropoda; Insecta; Lepidoptera; Bombycidae
Description: mir-2774 microRNA precursor family
Rfam family: mir-2774 microRNA precursor family
Source: Rfam by way of RNAcentral
ACAACAUUCGGACCGUCGGUCUACCGAGCAAUAUCAUCCGCUCGGUGGAAGAUCUUCCUUUCAUCGU